RNAcentral lists this unclassified non-coding RNA (379 nucleotides) under Mizuhopecten yessoensis (Yesso scallop). Its description in RNAcentral is "uncharacterized LOC110461208, transcript variant X2". Lineage: Eukaryota; Metazoa; Mollusca; Bivalvia; Pectinida; Pectinidae. The record is from RNAcentral.
AGUAAUUUAGGGCAAUACACACUAGUAUACCUAUAACAUGUGGUUUUUCUAUUGUUGCGAUCUGGAGUUGUCAUAACGAGUAAGAAAAUACAAUCUUGUUGGCAGAGAUUGAAGAGGAUCCGAUGUUGUGAAUAUGGCAUCGGGAAGGAGAUGCAGUUACUCACAGAAUGGACGUCACGGAUGACUGAACAGCUCAUGCGUCGAUGGUUUCAAUGAUAUCAUUGAAUUGGCGUACACAGUAAUAAUGUUAGUGAUUGGUUUCUGGAUGUGUCUGGUAACAUUCACUGUUCAUGGUGACACAAGGCACUUCAGAUGGAACACCACCUUGAAUAACAGUGGUAUAUACUUUCAUGUCUGAAAUGUACACAAGAACUGAGGC